Long non-coding RNA from Amblyraja radiata (thorny skate), 121 nucleotides. RefSeq lists it as uncharacterized. The transcript is spliced from 3 exons. The record is from RefSeq and is a predicted model, not a curated record. Lineage: Eukaryota; Metazoa; Chordata; Chondrichthyes; Rajiformes; Rajidae.
AGAGAGAGAGAAAUAGAGAAAGAAAAAGAGAGAGAGAGAGAGAGUGUGUCCCCCGGUGGUGGGAGAGGGGAAAAAAUGCCUAUGGCACCUGGUAUUCCCAGGCGGUCUCCCAUCCAAGUAC